This 482-nucleotide ribosomal RNA is filed under the name uncultured bacterium. RNAcentral describes it as "partial 16S ribosomal RNA". It matches the Rfam family "Bacterial small subunit ribosomal RNA", at positions 30 to 507 of the family's 1533-position model. The record is from RNAcentral.
AUUGAACGCUGGCGGCAGGCCUAACACAUGCAAGUCGAGCGGAUGAAGGGAGCUUGCUCCUGGAUUCAGCGGCACGGGUGAGUAAUGCCUAGGAAUCUGCCUGGUAGUGGGGGAUAACGUCCGGAAACGGGCGCUAAUACCGCAUACGUCCUGAGGGAGAAAGUGGGGGAUCUUCGGACCUCACGCUAUCAGAUGAGCCUAGGUCGGAUUAGCUAGUUGGUGGGGUAAAGGCCUACCAAGGCGACGAUCCGUAACUGGUCUGAGAGGAUGAUCAGUCACACUGGAACUGAGACACGGUCCAGACUCCUACGGGAGGCAGCAGUGGGGAAUAUUGGACAAUGGGCGAAAGCCUGAUCCAGCCAUGCCGCGUGUGUGAAGAAGGUCUUCGGAUUGUAAAGCACUUUAAGUUGGGAGGAAGGGCAGUAAGUUAAUACCUUGCUGUUUUGACGUUACCAACAGAAUAAGCACCGGCUAACUUCGUG